UCUACCCAUAGCUUAUGGUUAAAUGCCAUAGAAUCUUAUAGAUUUAGAUAUAUAUCGGUUAUGGAUGAGCUUGCGGGGUAUUAGGUAGUUGGUGUGGUAAUGGCGCACCAAGCCCAAGAUGCCUAGCCGGUUUGAGAGAACGAUCGGCCACACUGGGACUGAGACACGGCCCAGACGCUUACGAGCGGCAGCAGUGGGGAAUAUUGGACAAUGGGCGAAAGCCUGAUCCAGUGAUAUCGCUUUGGGGAUGACGGCGACAUACGUUGUAAACCCAAUGAAGUACGUUUAGAUUAUGACCGUACGUAUUUUAGAAGUCCCUG
RNAcentral lists this ribosomal RNA (320 nucleotides) under uncultured Alphaproteobacteria bacterium. RNAcentral's name for it is "bacterial SSU rRNA". It matches the Rfam family "Bacterial small subunit ribosomal RNA", at positions 125 to 496 of the family's 1533-position model. The record is from RNAcentral. Lineage: Bacteria; Pseudomonadati; Pseudomonadota; Alphaproteobacteria.